AGUGAACGCUGGCGGCGUGCUUAACACAUGCAAGUCGAACGAGAACGGAAUAUAGCUUGCUAUAUUUGUCAGCUAAGUGGCGCACGGGUGAGUAAUGUAUAGAUAACCUGCCCUUAAGAAAGGAAUAAUAGUUGGAAACGACUGCUAAUGCCCUAUAUGCCUUUAAUACAUAAGUAUGCAAGGGAAACGCUUUAGUGCUUAAGGAUGGGUCUGUAUGGUAUCAGCUUGUUGGUGAGGUAAUGGCUCACCAAGGCUAUGACGCCUAACUGGUUUGAGAGGAUGAGCAGUCACACUGGAACUAAGACACGGUCCAGCCUCCUCCUGGAGGCAGCGGUGGGGAAUAUUGCACAAGGGACGAAAGUCUGAUGCAGCAACGCCGCGUGGAGGAUGACACAUUUCGGUGCGUAAACUCCUUUUAUAUAGGAAGAUAAUGACGGUACUAUAUGAAUAAGCACCGUCUAACUCCGUGCCAGCAGCCGCCGUAA
This 485-nucleotide ribosomal RNA is filed under the name uncultured bacterium. RNAcentral describes it as "partial 16S ribosomal RNA". It matches the Rfam family "Bacterial small subunit ribosomal RNA", at positions 29 to 523 of the family's 1533-position model. The record is from RNAcentral.